CCUACGGGUGGCAGCAGUGGGGAAUAUUGGACAAUGGGCGAAAGCCUGAUCCAGCCAUGCCGCGUGUGUGAAGAAGGCCUUCGGGUUGUAAAGCACUUUCAGUGGGGAAGAAAGCCUUGGGGCUAAUACCCUCGAGGAAGGACAUCACCCACAGAAGAAGCACCGGCUAACUCCGUGCCAGCAGCCGCGGUAAUACGGAGGGUGCGAGCGUUAAUCGGAAUUACUGGGCGUAAAGCGCGCGUAGGCGGUCUGAUAAGCCGGUUGUGAAAGCCCCGGGCUCAACCUGGGAACGGCAUCCGGAACUGUCAGGCUAGAGUGCAGGAGAGGAAGGUAGAAUUCCCGGGGUAGCGGUGAAAUGCGUAGAGAUCGGGAGGAAUACCAGUGGCGAAGGCGGUCUUCUGGACUGACACUGACGCUGAGGUGCGAAAGCGUGGGUAGCAAACAGGAUUAGAUACCCUGGUAGUC
This 465-nucleotide ribosomal RNA is filed under the name Vreelandella stevensii. RNAcentral describes it as "partial 16S ribosomal RNA". It matches the Rfam family "Bacterial small subunit ribosomal RNA", at positions 338 to 795 of the family's 1533-position model. The record is from RNAcentral. Lineage: Bacteria; Pseudomonadati; Pseudomonadota; Gammaproteobacteria; Oceanospirillales; Halomonadaceae.